Molecule: unclassified non-coding RNA, 753 nt
Filed under: Leishmania donovani
Lineage: Eukaryota; Euglenozoa; Kinetoplastea; Trypanosomatida; Trypanosomatidae
Description: gene:unknown
Source: RNAcentral
UGAUGCGACGUGUGCUCCUCUACAGCGCAGAAGAAAAGGAAUUAGUAUUCGCGAGAAGGAUGCGUCUCUCGAUCCCGCACCCCCUCUCGUUGGUGCCCGUUACACACCUCGAUUCACACGAGCGAAAAAGGCGUGUCGGACCAACAACAGCAGCAGCAAUGCAGACGAGGAAGUGUUGUACUGUACUUUGACAGACUUCUCUACUCGCUUCACCCCCUUUUCUGUUUGGACGCGUGCAGAGAGAAAGACGGUGAGUCACACAGACACACACGCACUUACACAUCGAGGGAGUAAGGGAAAGAGACGGAGAGCGGAAAAGAUCGCAGCACGUCGCGAGAGGUGGCCGUGGCACCGAGCGACGGGUCGUCGCAAGUUGUUCGUCAUGGUCGAAGGGAAAAGCUGCGCAAAUAGUGAGAAUGCACUUGUGCGGCGACUGACAUCAUUCCACACUCGUUUUCUUCCAUCUGUUGGUGCGCGGCACUAUUGCCGCGUAUCAUCUUCUGUUGCGUGUGCGGUAUGCGUCUACCCCUUGGCCAUCCGCAUCACGCUUGCGUCUUCCUCGCACUCCGUUCUCUUCAGCUCGGACCGCGUUUCUUCUCACUGCUGCGCUGCCUGACCAUGCGCCAUCCGUGUGGAGAGGGCGGGGUGGCAGCGGUGAUUCAAGGAGGGACGUGCGGAGGGCCGUGUUGACUCUGGCUUCGCGGUGUUUGCGCAUUCACUGAACGACGGCGGUCACGAGCAGUGAAACAAACG